RNAcentral lists this ribosomal RNA (479 nucleotides) under uncultured bacterium. Its description in RNAcentral is "bacterial SSU rRNA". It matches the Rfam family "Bacterial small subunit ribosomal RNA", at positions 28 to 517 of the family's 1533-position model. The record is from RNAcentral.
GAUGAACGCUAGCGGCAGGCUUAAUACAUGCAAGUCAAGGGGGUAGCAAUACAACCGGCGCACGGGUGAGUAACGCGUACACAACAUACCAUAUACUGGGGUAUAGCUUUGGGAAACUGAAGGUAAUCCCCCAUAACAUUGCGAGAGGGCAUCUGAUUGCAAUUAAAGUUUCGGCGGUAUAUGAUUGGUGUGCGUUUGAUUAGCUAGUUGGUAGGGUAACGGCCUACCAAGGCGACGAUCAAUAGCUGGCGUGAGAGCGCGACCAGCCACACUGGAACUGAGACACGGUCCAGACUCCUACGGGAGGCAGCAGUAGGGAAUAUUGGACAAUGGGCGCAAGCCUGAUCCAGCCAUGCCGCGUGAUAGAUGAAGGCCCUCUGGGUUGUAAAUAUCUUUUAUCUGGGAAGAAACUCCUCUAUUCUUAGAGGCCUGACGGUACCAGAGGAAUAAGCACCGGCUAAACUCCGUGCCAGCAGCCG